Long non-coding RNA from Trichechus manatus latirostris (Florida manatee), 542 nucleotides. RefSeq lists it as uncharacterized. Lineage: Eukaryota; Metazoa; Chordata; Mammalia; Sirenia; Trichechidae. The transcript has 3 exons. The record is from RefSeq and is a predicted model, not a curated record.
UUCGGCAAGUGCUUAGCCAUUGCGUCACCAGGGCUUCUUAAUAUGAAACGGUUGAAUACAAAUAGUUCGAGACCUGAAGCUAUGGGAUUGAAUGGGACAAACAAGGGUCAGCAGACUAUCUCAACAGCAUUUGAAUGAAAUUAGGGACUAUGUCAAGGACUGCAUCGUAUCCCCAGCUCCCUGCAGAAAAUCUAGCCCUUGGUAAGUGUUCAGUAAAUAUUUGUAGAUCUAAUGAAUGACUCCUUCUAUACAGUUUCUUAUGCAGAUUAGAUUACUAUUUUCUCUACCACACUUUCCCACCUUUUAUUUUAGCAUCUGAAAAAUAUGAUUACUUAUGUAAUUUGACUACCGUGGAAAUUCUGGCAGGGGGCAGUGUGUCCCUCACUGGUGUGCCUGUGUCUUGAUGAGGGCAGAGAGACAAUAGCAUUGAGAAAGAGAGUAUUUCUGGCUAUAAACCAAAAAAACCAAACCCACUGCUGUCAAGUUGAUUCAGACUCAUAGCGACCCUAUAGUAUGCAAGUAAUUGAGAACCACAUGGUAAU